Molecule: ribosomal RNA, 497 nt
Filed under: uncultured bacterium
Lineage: Bacteria
Description: partial 16S ribosomal RNA
Rfam family: Bacterial small subunit ribosomal RNA
Source: RNAcentral
GAUGAACGCUGGCGGCGUGCCUAAUACAUGCAAGUCGAGCGAACAGACGAGGAGCUUGCUCCUCUGACGUUAGCGGCGGACGGGUGAGUAACACGUGGAUAACCUACCUAUAAGACUGGGAUAACUUCGGGAAACCGGAGCUAAUACCGGAUAAUAUAUUGAACCGCAUGGUUCAAUAGUGAAAUACGGUUUUGCUGUCACUUAUAGAUGGAUCCGCGCCGCAUUAGCUAGUUGGUAAGGUAACGGCUUACCAAGGCGACGAUGCGUAGCCGACCUGAGAGGGUGAUCGGCCACACUGGAACUGAGACACGGUCCAGACUCCUACGGGAGGCAGCAGUAGGGAAUCUUCCGCAAUGGGCGAAAACCUGACGGAGCAACGCCGCGUGAGUGAUGAAGGUCUUCGGAUCGUAAAACUCUGUUAUUAGGGAAGAACAAAUGUGUAAGUAACUAUGCACGUCUUGACGGUACCUAAUCAGAAAGCCACGGCUAACUACGUG